Molecule: unclassified non-coding RNA, 264 nt
Filed under: uncultured fungus
Lineage: Eukaryota; Fungi
Description: sequence contains ITS1
Rfam family: 5.8S ribosomal RNA (bases 1-117)
Source: RNAcentral
UGAAAGGCGAAACGUAAUGUGAAUCGCAACUAACAGUGAAUCAUCGAAUCUUUGAACGCAGGCCGCACCUUGCAAUAUCACUCUGUGUUACUGCAAGGUAUCUACGUAUGAGUGUCAGCCCAAUAUCCUUUUGGUUCAAGAUAAGAUUGUAUAUAAUUCAUAUUUUUGUGAAUAUAUAUUUUAAACUCUUGAAUACAUAUAUAUUAUAUACUUUUUUUUAUAUAUGUCUGGCCUCAUAUGUGGAAGGUUACCCGCUGGAUUUAA